This 301-nucleotide ribosomal RNA is filed under the name uncultured bacterium. RNAcentral describes it as "partial 16S ribosomal RNA". It matches the Rfam family "Bacterial small subunit ribosomal RNA", at positions 509 to 808 of the family's 1533-position model. The record is from RNAcentral.
CAGUCGCCGCGGGAAUACGUAGGGUGCGAGCGUUGUCCGGAAUUACUGGGCGUAAAGAGCUCGUAGGUGGUUUGUUGCGCCGUCUGUGAAAUUCCGGGGCUUAACUUCGGGGUGGCAGGCGAUACGGGCAUAACUAGAGUGCUGUAGGGGAGACUGGAAUUCCUGGUGUAGCGGUGGAAUGCGCAGAUAUCAGAAGGAACACCGAUGGCGAAGGCAGGUCUCUGGGCAGUAACUGACGCUGAGGAGCGGAAGCAUGGGGAGCGAACAGGAUUAGAUACCCCAGUAGUCCCUGUCUCUUAUA